RNAcentral lists this ribosomal RNA (253 nucleotides) under uncultured bacterium. RNAcentral describes it as "partial 16S ribosomal RNA". It matches the Rfam family "Bacterial small subunit ribosomal RNA", at positions 524 to 776 of the family's 1533-position model. The record is from RNAcentral.
UACGUAGGGGGCAAGCGUUGUCCGGAAUCAUUGGGCGUAAAGCGCGCGUAGGCGGCCCUGUAAGUCCGUUGUGAAAGUCAAAGGCUCAACCUUUGAAAGCCGAUGGAUACUGCAGGGCUCGAGUUCGGAAGAGGCGAGUGGAAUUCCUGGUGUAGCGGUGGAAUGCGCAGAUAUCAGGAGGAACACCAAUAGCGAAGGCAGCUCGCUGGGACGAUACUGACGCUGAGGCGCGAAAGCGUGGGGAGCAAACAGG